This 318-nucleotide long non-coding RNA is filed under the name Gossypium barbadense (sea-island cotton). RNAcentral's name for it is "long non-coding RNA (GBAR_LNC017322)". Lineage: Eukaryota; Viridiplantae; Streptophyta; Magnoliopsida; Malvales; Malvaceae. The record is from RNAcentral.
CUAGACAAAGGGUACAUUCGUGAGAGCCUAAGUCCUUGUGCUGUUCCUGUCUUAUUGGUGCCAAUGAAAUUUACGAAGAAGGAGUCUAUGAAGAGUGGGAAAUCCAAGAGAACCAGAGACUAUUAAUGCUGGAAUUAAAUCAACUAAUAGGUGAAGCUCAUGCAGAUCUACAGGAGUGUCACAUGAGUGCGAACAUAAAAACCAUUAUUCCCCAUAUUAGCUACCUCAAAGUAUGAAUGAAAAGGAAAACUUUACAACCCAAGCACCUUGGGAAAAUCUGAAUAGUCAGGUAUUUCUGAGCGCAGAAGAUAAUUAAGG